AGAGUUUGAUCCUGGCUCAGAUUGAACGCUAGCGGGAUGCCUUACACAUGCAAGUCGGACGGCAGCGGCAUGGACAAUCCCUUCGGGGUGCGACCAUGGCCGGCGAGUGGCGAACGGGUGAGUAAUGCAUCGGAACGUGCCCAGUAGUGGGGGAUAACCACUCGAAAGAGUGGCUAAUACCGCAUAUUCUCUACGGAGGAAAGGGGGGGAUCUUCGGACCUCCCGCUACUGGAGCGGCCGAUGUCGGAUUAGCUAGUUGGUGGGGUAACGGCUCACCAAGGUAACGAUCCGUAGCUGGUCUGAGAGGACGACCAGCCACACUGGGACUGAGACACGGCCCAGACUCCUACGGGAGGCAGCAGUGGGGAAUCUUGGACAAUGGGGGCAACCCUGAUCCAGCAAUCCCGCGUGUGUGAAGAAGGCCUUCGGGUUGUAAAGCACUUUUUGCAGGGAAGAAAUAGCCUGGGUGAAUAAUCCGGGUGACUGACGGUACCUGCGGAAUAAGCACCGGCUAACUACGUGCCAGCAGCCGCGGUAAUACGUAGGGUGCAAGCGUUAAUCGGAAUUACUGGGCGUAAAGGGUACGCAGGCGGCUAGGCAAGAAGGAUGUGAAAUCCCUGGGCUUAACCUAGGAAUUGCAUUUUUAACUGCCUGGCUAGAGUAUGUCAGAGGGGGGUGGAAUUCCACGUGUAGCAGUGAAAUGCGUAGAUAUGUGGAGGAACACCGAUGGCGAAGGCAGCCCCCUGGGAUAAUACUGACGCUCAGGUACGAAAGCGUGGGGAGCAAACAGGAUUAGAUACCCUGGUAGUCCACGCCCUAAACGAUGUCAACUAGCUGUUGGGGCCAAUAGGCCUAAGUAGCGCAGCUAACGCGUGAAGUUGACCGCCUGGGGACUACGGCCGCAAGGCUAAAACUCAAAGGAAUUGACGGGGACCCGCACAAGCGGUGGAUGAUGUGGAUUAAUUCGAUGCAACGCGAAAAACCUUACCUACCCUUGACAUGUCUGGAAGCUCCAAGAGAUUGGAGUGUGCUCGCAAGAGAACCGGAACACAGGUGCUGCAUGGCUGUCAUCAGCUCGUGUCGUGAGAUGUUGGGUUAAGUCCCGCAACGAGCGCAACCCUUGUCAUUAGUUGCUACCAUUUAGUUGGGCACUCUAGUGAGACUGCCGGUGACAAACCGGAGGAAGGUGGGGAUGACGUCAAGUCCUCAUGGCCCUUAUGGGUAGGGCUUCACACGUCAUACAAUGGUUGGGACAGAGGGUUGCCAACCCGCAAGGGGGAGCUAAUCCCACAAACCUAAUCGUAGUCCGGAUUGCACUCUGCAACUCGAGUGCAUGAAGUCGGAAUCGCUAGUAAUCGCGGAUCAGAAUGCCGCGGUGAAUACGUUCCCGGGUCUUGUACACACCGCCCGUCACACCAUGGAAGUGGGUUUCACCAGAAGUGGGUUGCCUAACCGCAAGGAGGGCGCUUACCACGGUGGGAUUCAUGACUGGGGUGAAGUCGUAACAAGGUA
This 1512-nucleotide ribosomal RNA is filed under the name uncultured bacterium. RNAcentral's name for it is "bacterial SSU rRNA". It matches the Rfam family "Bacterial small subunit ribosomal RNA". The record is from RNAcentral.